GAUGAACGCUGGCGGCGUGCCUAAUACAUGCAAGUCGAGCGAACAGACGAGGAGCUUGCUCCUCUGACGUUAGCGGCGGAAGGGUGAGUAACACGUGGAUAACCUACCUAUAAGACUGGGAUAACUUCGGGAAACCGGAGCUAAUACCGGAUAAUAUAUUGAACCGCAUGGUUCAAUAGUGAAAGACGGUUUUGCUGUCACUUAUAGAUGGAUCCGCGCCGCAUUAGCUAGUUGGUAAGGUAACGGCUUACCAAGGCAACGAUGCGUAGCCGACCUGAGAGGGUGAUCGGCCACACUGGACCUGAGACACGGUCCAGACUCCUACGGGAGGCAGCAGUAGGGAAUCUUCCGCAAUGGGCGAAAGCCUGACGGAGCAACGCCGCGUGAGUGAUGAAGGUCUUCGGAUCGUAAAACUCUGUUAUUAGGGAAGAACAAAUGUGUAAGUAACUAUGCACGUCUUGACGGUACCUAAUCAGAAAGCCACGGCUAACUACGUG
Molecule: ribosomal RNA, 497 nt
Filed under: uncultured bacterium
Lineage: Bacteria
Description: partial 16S ribosomal RNA
Rfam family: Bacterial small subunit ribosomal RNA
Source: RNAcentral